This 1005-nucleotide long non-coding RNA is filed under the name Heterocephalus glaber (naked mole-rat). Its description in RNAcentral is "lncRNA (ENSHGLG00000036765.1)". Lineage: Eukaryota; Metazoa; Chordata; Mammalia; Rodentia; Bathyergidae. The record is from RNAcentral.
GGCAGCAAGACAGUGGGGUUGAGCAAGUCUGUGACAUACAAUUAGCGGCUGGGUGAGACAGCUUCUGACCAAAUAGAUAGUCACUCGAUGAGAAAAAUAGGCUGAAGGCGGUGAUUCGGAGCUUACUCAUGCGGGCGCCACAUAUUUCCCUUACCCUAGGGGCUGUGAAUAGAGAUUUUGGUUUUAAACCUUGGAAGGUCUUGCUCUUUGCCCAUCAAACAAGCAGAAUGCACAAGCUUGCUUAGAGCAAAUGGUUCUCUGAUUCAGAUUUUCCAGAGGGAAAGAGGAAUGUAUGUUAGCAGAUUACUUCCCUCGCGUGUCUGGCCGGGGUAAGCCUCCUAGGCGGGCUAAUGAUCUCCUGCGGGCUGGUGGCACUGGCUGCCAGCAGAGAGAAGCAGCCUCCUCCUCUGCCCUAUCGGUGGCCCCAAAGACUUCUCUUCCACCUGGGACAGUGACCCGCUGGCUCCAGGCCUGGGGCUCAAGGCCCUGGAAGCCCAGAGCACAGGGAAACCACGAGACACUAGAGGGACCCCUGAGCUGUACCAAGGAUGGAACUCAUGGCAUCACACAUCUAGGCAAGAGCUCACUGCUGAGCUACACUUCUAGUCCUGAUCUUUUUCAUACAAAUGAACUGGAUUUUAGACAACUUGGUCUCAGAGAAGAUCCUGUUUCAUUCUUGGGAAAUCUGCAGUUUUUUGCAUUCAUCAGGUGACUUUGAAAUUUGCCAAAUCUGAGACAUAGCUGAGAGGGAGUAAGCGCUGUUUCCUGAAGGAGGAAUAAUUCUUAAGAAGAAAGAAUUCCACAGCUGUUGGGAACCUUGCUGAUUUUUGUAAUUUAUUUCCUUUUUCAUAGUUUCAAAAAGUCUCCCACGAGACAAAGAAGUGCAAGCACUUUCUAAUACUAUAAUUUGCUUUCCAGUGUAUUAAAAUGUUCAUGAAAAAGUCAACAUUUCCCUGGUCUUAGUAUCCAUUAUGCUGCUGAAAUCAUCAGACCAGGUGACACUGA